UUGUUGGAAGCACUAGAUUGGAAAUUUAUGCAUGAAACAGAUCUGAAAAAAAAUUCUGAUUUGAUGAUCGAAGAUGUACAUAAUGAUGGUAAUCUCAUCUCCAAACAGGAGUCAAGUUGAAAAUCACGAUGGCAGUCUUUGGUUAGGGAGGAAAAUGAGUUUCUCAA
Molecule: long non-coding RNA, 167 nt
Organism: Glycine soja
Lineage: Eukaryota; Viridiplantae; Streptophyta; Magnoliopsida; Fabales; Fabaceae
Exons: 3
Source: RefSeq, a predicted model, not a curated record